This is a long non-coding RNA of Felis catus (domestic cat), 4584 nucleotides long. RefSeq lists it as uncharacterized. Lineage: Eukaryota; Metazoa; Chordata; Mammalia; Carnivora; Felidae. The record is from RefSeq and is a predicted model, not a curated record. The transcript is spliced from 3 exons.
CUCUCUCUCUGCCCCUCCCCUGCUCGUGCUCUGUUUGUACCUCUCUCAAAAAUAAACAUUAAAAAAUUAAAAAAUUAAAAAAAAACCCGCUGGUUUAAAGGUAAAGAAACUAAACUACAGAAAAUUUAAGGCAUUGGCUCACGGUCAGAAAGACACUGAGUAAUAGAGCCAGGGCUACAGCCCAUGCCCAUGAUACCUAGUUCUCCCCUCCUGCCAUGAUCUACAGUGCGACUUAGGACAUACUCCAUACCAUGAGUCCUUUAGAUUUCUCUUCAACUAUGAAUAUCAUUAAUAUAGGUAAUAUCAUAUCAUUAAUGUUUUGUACAAGGCAAGAGGUAACACAUAUGAAAGUGCUUGUUAAAUUCUAAAGUACUGUGGAAUUUCCAUAGAAGCACAUCAGUAUGAAGAGAGACAGGCACACACAGAGAAUCUACUUUGAGAUAACAUUUGGAGGAAAUAACAGAAGAAAUGAAAAACCCAGAGCAAAGUAGGCUAGAAGCUAGAAGGUGGAUCUGUGGCUGAUUUCAAGUUCCCAACUGCAGAACUGAUCUUAAAUAGUAGUUUAAGUACUUAAUGCAAGCUGGCUGCUCUUGGCAUCUUUCCAAAACUCUCUAUUAGCUGUUGUAGUGGAAUUUUGCCAGCAGCCAAAUUCUCAGCUUUUAGUCUUUAGUGAGUUUAAGGUACCAACAAGGAAACCCAUCCUCAAUGUUUCUAAGACUGGCAGAGCUAUGCCUAACUAAAACAGCUUUAUUCUCUGGACAUAGUAAGUGAAGCUGGAAAAACCCCACGUUAAGAUAAAAAUAAAACCAGACACAUUGCCUAGGCCCCCAGCAGCCUGGUAUCUAAGGAAGCUGUAGAUAUACCCUCAGUUCUCAGGAUUACAUGAGCUUCCCAGAAGCAUGGAUGGAACACAUGACACAAUCCACACACUUUAAUGUGACCAAAGGAGGAACUUCCCUACUUUGCAUGUGUGAAACACCAUUACCUGACCCACUUGUGCAUUAACAUCCUGUACACGACCAGUUCUCAUGUGAAAAGUCACUCACUCGCUCUUGAGGAAAGAAACAAUUAUGUAAAAGAGAAAAAAGUUGUGAAUUUAGGGCUGCAGUUCUAUUACAUUUCAGAGAAUGUAUGAAGUUUCUUGUCCCUUUGAACAAAACAACACAGCUGGUGAAAAAGCAAGUGUUUUUCUUAAAAUGCUCUCAGCACCUCUAAUUUCCUAUUGAAUCUAGAUGUUUCCUUCAUUUUUCUUUUCCUCAUGAUUCCCUGGUGGUCUCCCUCUCUCUAAUAGGACUGUUGACCCUUAAAGACCUCAUAUCAACACUUUCCUGAAAUGGACUGGAACUUCCUAGGGGUGUAUCUGUCAAUUUAAUAUUUGUGUCAUCUAAAGAAAAAAGUGAGCUUAUUCAACCUCUUUCCCAUUUCAUCAAUCAGUGUGAAGGAAAUGAAGAGAGGAGUAAAAAUAGGUGGCUUACAGCUAUCAACAAUGCCUUGUGCCAAACAACACAGAAGGUUCACAAAGUUGCCUGAAUAGUUAACUGAGCAAGUUGCCUUUUACAGAGCAAAUAAGUUAGGAAGUAGGCAAUGGACCAGUGUGGUUUAGUCCAUUAAGACAAAAUGGAGAGGUUACUUUGCUUCUGUCUAUAUUUACCCAAACUCUGGUAAAUAAGAGUUUUUAUAGAAAGGGGACAAGUAGACUAGCUCUCUUCCAUUAUAAGAUGAGUGGAUCUGUGCCACUGAAGAGUAAACUAAGUAUUCCUUUCCCUAGUUCUGGCAAGUGGCAUCAGGCAAGGGUCUGGAAGGACCCUCAGGCCUGUGGGCUGUCUCUAACUUCCAGGCUUUGUAACAGGCAACACCUCCUUUUGAGUGCCACAGACUUCCUUUUCUGGUUGAGUACUUGCAGAAGGAAAACAGUCACAUGCCAAGUUGUUCUUUCUUGCUCUCUGCUAUCAUACAUUUUGAGGUUUACUGAGUAUAAUUCAAAAAAUAAAGGUGCUCUCAUUCUAAAAUUGAAAGAGAAAAGCAUUUUGUUCAUUAUCUAGAGCCAAAGGAAAAUGACUCUCAAGCCUACUCUUAAGCCUGAAUCCAAACUCCAUGGCUAGAUAAAGGAUCAUACAGAAGUAUAAAGCAACUUCCUUCCUAGUUGAAAUAGAACAAAGUAUUUCUAGAUUCCAAACUUACCCUUUGCAAGUUUACUAAGGAGUCUCACAAAAUUACAACUAAAAUACUAUAGUCAUAGAUGUUCCCUAGAACUUUAAAAUGAUGCCACUUCCCUGGGCAAGUCAUAGAAGAGGCAAAUUGACAGUCAUUUGUGUAGUAACAAUGGCCUUCUCCAUCCUUCCAUGCCAGGCCAUUGUGAAGGAAGCGGCCAUGAUGCUCAACACAUUUUACAGCAUGAAUGAACAUCAUCACUAGUCUUUCAAAUGCACCAAGUGUGUUGCAGACAGAUAAACAAGCCCAGCUUGGAGGAAGUGGCUGAAUUUGAAGCUGCAGAUAUGCUCCAGGCAUCACAUUUGGACCGUUUGCUUUACCAGCUGUUUCUAAAAAUAUGUUCAUAAAGGAGACCUUUUCUGUCUAUCUCCAAAACUGCUUUUGUUGAGGCUUUCCCCCCCUUCUCAGAAGAGAAAGGGUAGAGAUAUGGAAAACAACAUCUGCUGAAAUAUCUCACGACUUCAGGGAAGGACUACAGUCAUAAGCUUCACGUGAAAAAAAAAAAAGAGCCACCAAAAAACUCCAAUAAACGAAAUGACUGAAGAGGCUGCUGAAUUCUUUUGGAUUAAAGGUUAUCUCAUGCCUACUGCUGCUAUAUGACCACCUGGUGCAUCCAUGGACCAUUUGUCACCUGAUGAACAGGAUGGAUCCCAGAGGACUGGUGUAUGCUCAGCUACACAGAGUCCUACCUAUCAUCAUCACCAUCAUCAUCAUCAUCAUCAUCAUCGUCUUGAAUUCCUUCAUCAACUUUCUUUACAGAGCUUUACACCAUGAACAUAAUUCAAACUCACUGGAAAAAUAGGAUUCACUAUUUUUUCAAACUAAUGGUCUGGCAGAGUUCUUAUAUCUAAGUCUCCCCACCCAAGAUUUCCCUGCCGGACUUCUUUUAUACAUACAUAUGUAUAAAAUAUAUGUAUUUAUAUAUGUACAUAUACACACACACAUAUUCCUUGCUUUCUGAUAACAAAUGUAAUACAUACUCUAUGUACAAAUUUUGAAGUAUGAAUAACAAAAUAAAACUCACCCAUGGGCCACCACCUAAACAUAAGCACUGUUGAUUCUAUUACUGAUAAUAGAAUCCUUAUAUCUGAUUCAGGACAUCAAAUCUCUGAUUUCCAAUAAACAGUAAACUUAGCAUGGCUUUUUAUUAGGCUAAAUUAAUAUUAAAUAUUAAAUAAUAUUUUCAAUAUUUAGAUAAUAAAUUUUGUUAAGCAAGAGGAUAUUGGUGUAGAUUACCCAAGAGACAGAAAAGGUAGGAGGAGAUGAGAACUAUAGAUACGAAUCCAGUAAUUGUAUUUAGUAGAGAACAUAUCUUUUAUUUUGGCUGGGGACUAAGGUUUUUGACCUUCUAUUGACAUUAAAGAUGGAUCAUGUGAACUCAAAUGUAGGCUAAUUCAACUCGGCAAAAUCAUUCUCUCUACUCGACUAGAAAGGUUCAGAUGAAAAAAAAUUUCUCAAUCUAGAUUCCAGUGCUUAAAAAUUUCCAUUUUUCUUUAAGUCUGUUUAUGCUUAUAAACCAAUUUUGGUUUUCUCAUAACAAGUAUUCUGGAAUAUUUUAGGUCUCCCAUUCUACCUUGUGCCUUUCAUUUAUUUCUUUGGUUGGGAAUCAAAACUCUCUUAAUACUUCACAUAUAAGUGACCUAUGCAUAGAAUAACUUCCUGGGGCCUCAGUGAAAUAAAUGGCUUGAUCUUCAGAUCAUCUAGCUCAUAAUAAAAUUUUAGACUUGGGUCUUUAGUUUCCAAAAUCUAUUAAAUCUAGUGUGCCAGUAUAGAUAAUACUUUAAACCUCAUUUUUCGGUUUCUGGAUGUUGGUUUAUUUGUUUUUAAAGAGACCAGUAAAAUGACAAAGAAAAGUCUGUGGGGAAGGACUAACAUCAGUUGCCAACUUUCAUUUGCUAAUUAAAGAUGUUACGAACAGGGACAAAACAUUAUUUUUGUAAAAGACUGAUUUAGCCAUCAAAGCCUAGAAGAUAUAAUCUCAGAAUAUAGGGCAGUUCUGUAAGUUUAACUUUGUGGAAAUUCUGUAUAUACUGUCCUUACUUUUCUCAUUUCACCAUGGAUGAGCAAAAGUUUUGGCAUGGCUUGACACUGGUUUUUACGUUUGAGUUUUGGAAACAUAGCUCCAAUUUGCCUAACCAUCUGUCCUCAGUGGAGGAAGGUGACAGAAGGAACAACUUCUCACUAGUGCAUGCACUGGUUUAGUCUAUACCACAAGUCACUUCUUGUCCCCACUAAUUACUUCACCAUUUGUCUAAAAUCUUUUAGCUGGUUCCUCUAGUGAACAACAGAAUAGAGAGGUGUAGAGAUGACCCCUGCAUGGCCAGUAAGAAGAAAAAAAAAAACAAAACAAGUUUUCACACAUCCUCUGAAUUU